UUUUCCUUCAAUGGUCAGCGUCAAGUUGCCCGACAUGUGGAAAACCCGGGACUUCCGGUGAGAGACGUUGCAAUAAGUCUGGGGACGACGCAGCGGAGGGAGGAGUAGCUGCGCUGUGAAGAGCCGACCCGUCCACGUUCGUGCCCCCUGGCGGUUGCGGGCGGUAUGAUCAAUGUUUGGUCACUGUCGUAAAGACGCCGCGGGAGCAAGACGCGGGUACUUUUCCUCAGAGCUCCUGGGGAAGUUGUCAACACCGCUUUGGAGAUAAUAACAGAGGGGAAACAAGUAUGUGCACUGAAGCUCCCGCUUCGUUUCAAUGGCUGCUAGCAUCAACCAGUGGCAGCGUUAGCAUCACCCCAGCAGAUCAUGAUGGUCAACAGCACCCUGGAGACCUUCGUCAGUGGAGAUGGCGGGGACACAGACCUGACCUCCGGCGCCUCUCCAGGAACACGGUGCAGUCUGGACCAAGAAGAAGCCAGAGACACAGCUCUUCAGAGGCCACCCAAGCCGACACUCAGCCCUAUACCGAUCUGAUCAGAGAGCCAAAAACAGCACACAGCCCUAUCUACGAAAACCUGACGACUCGAACGGCAGGUUCCGGCAGGCUGGCAGAAAACCAGAGCACGUCGCCUGAAGAGAAUUUUUACUUGCAGUGUGAUUCACCGGAUCAUGCAAUAUACAGCAACGACCCGAAGUGUAACCCAGCCCUCCUCCACGACUCCCCAGAAGAGGAUGUGUACAUUAUGCCUGAUUCAUGAUAAG
This 762-nucleotide long non-coding RNA is filed under the name Scophthalmus maximus (turbot). RNAcentral's name for it is "lncRNA (ENSSMAG00000023311.1)". The record is from RNAcentral. Lineage: Eukaryota; Metazoa; Chordata; Actinopteri; Pleuronectiformes; Scophthalmidae.